RNAcentral lists this long non-coding RNA (548 nucleotides) under Pan troglodytes (chimpanzee). RNAcentral's name for it is "long non-coding RNA NONPTRT014923". Lineage: Eukaryota; Metazoa; Chordata; Mammalia; Primates; Hominidae. The record is from RNAcentral.
AAAGAAAAAAGUAAAUAAAAUGUCAGCAGCCCCAAGUCUGGCUGCCAGCUCACAUCCACCUCGACCACUGUCCCAGGUCUUUGCUACUUCUCUGUGCUGUCACUCCAUUUGUAAAACAGACCUAAUAAUAGCAUCUACCGCAUACAGUUGAUAUAUAUGCAUUAACUUAUUUAAUGCAUACGUAUCACACCAGUGCAUGGUACAUGAUAUUACUUAAAAUAAUAACAUAGAAAGCAAAUUUUUUAGUAACAAAUUAUUGUAAACAAAUUUGGGAAGCAUGUAUUCUAGCAAAUUUAAUCAUCUAUUUUGGGGCACCCAGUUGCCCAUGCCUGCCCCUCUCCGCUCCUCAGUGUUUCUCAAACUCUAACCUGCACAUGAAUCACACAGACAUGUGUUAAAAUGCAGACUCUGAGUCAUAGGUCUAGAGUUGGGCCUGAGAUUCUGCAUUUCCAACAAGCUUCUGAGCAAUAACAGUGCUUUGGACCACGGAACAUACCCUGAGCAGUGAGGUGCUACAGAACCCCCAGCAUCUGUCUCUAACAAACCCA